CCUGACCUUCAGUCCAGGGCUGAGUCAGCGGAGCCCCGAGUGGCUUCCCUGGCUGGCACCUGGACGUAGGCUAUUUCCGU
This is a microRNA precursor of Peromyscus maniculatus bairdii (prairie deer mouse), 80 nucleotides long. The record is from Ensembl. NCBI's taxonomy places the organism in Eukaryota, Metazoa, Chordata, Mammalia, Rodentia, Cricetidae.